This 409-nucleotide ribosomal RNA is filed under the name uncultured bacterium. RNAcentral describes it as "bacterial SSU rRNA". It matches the Rfam family "Bacterial small subunit ribosomal RNA", at positions 350 to 751 of the family's 1533-position model. The record is from RNAcentral.
AGCAGUGGGGAAUUUUGGACAAUGGGCGCAAGCCUGAUCCAGCAAUGCCGCGUGAGUGAAGAAGGCCUUCGGGUUGUAAAGCUCUUUUGUCAGGGAAGAGACGGUGAGGGCUAAUAUCCCUUGCUAAUGACGGUACCUGAAGAAUAAGCACCGGCUAACUACGUGCCAGCAGCCGCGGUAAUACGUAGGGUGCAAGCGUUAAUCGGAAUUACUGGGCGUAAAGCGUGCGCAGGCGGUUUUGUAAGUUUGUCGUGAAAGCCCCGGGCUCAACCUGGGAAUUGCGAUGAAGACUGCAAGGCUUGAAUCUGGCAGAGGGGGGUAGAAUUCCACGUGUAGCAGUGAAAUGCGUAGAGAUGUGGAGGAACACCGAUGGCGAAGGCAGCCCCCUGGGUCAAGAUUGAUGCUCAUG